UUUAUAUAAAAACCAAUUUUGUUUUUUUGUUUUGUUAGUUUCGCUUGGGGUAGCUAUCUUUGAGAUUUUACUUAUGUUGACCUUGAGGAUACAUGGAACAAAAUAGAUAAUUAUUUAUCACUUUCUGAGCGUCGUCAAACUUUAAAGUACUCCGUCUCAGGAUUUACGGCUCCAAUAAGGAUAUGGAUAUAUGAGAUGAUUCCGGCUGUUCGUGCAUGUGGAUUUGUAUUGAGAAAAAAUAAAGACAUGCCUCGAAUGAAACGAUGGAAUGGAACAAAAAAAUUGAAAUGGGUUGACGUGAACAAGAUUUGGUCAAAGAUACAGGAGGGGCAACCACCAAGACAAAACAUGUUACCGGGUGAUGGUGAGAUGACAUCUUGUUAUUAUAUGUCAUUUCAAGAGUAUGUAUAUGGUGAAGGGAAAGCAGUUCCAUCCCCAGUACGGGACCAUUUUAGGAGAUAAGACGAAUCUUCGUCUAGUAUGUCGUCCAAUAGUCGCUCUCAUGGUAGAGGUAGGGGCAGUGGGAAACACAACCUAGACGAGGUGUUGAAAAUUUUACACCCUCGAAGUUUGCUCAUGCAACGAAGUAGAUUGUUACUACUGUGAUUCGA
Molecule: non-coding RNA, 611 nt
Organism: Lactuca sativa (garden lettuce)
Lineage: Eukaryota; Viridiplantae; Streptophyta; Magnoliopsida; Asterales; Asteraceae
Source: RefSeq, a predicted model, not a curated record